UUCUUUUAAGAUAUAUUUCCAGGGGAGACAGAGUAAGAUGGCUCCACCAAUUGUUCCCCCGACAAGGACACCAAUUUAACAAUCAUCUACACAGAAAAAACACCCUCGUAAGGAUAAAAAUCAAUACAUUUGCUCUUGGAUCCCAUCCACCACGCUGUGAGGAAGCCAAAUUACCUCAUGAAGAUGCCCUCAAGGAGCUGAACCAAAGGCUCUGGCCCAUAGCCUUACGGAUCUCCAAGUUGAAAGUCAGCACCAACCUGCUAGUCAUAAGAGUGAGUCAUCUUGACAGUAGAUCCUCCAGCCUCCAACAGAUGCCCUGUGGAGCAGAGAGGAGUCAUUCCUAUCAAACCCUGAAAAAUUCUAGAUCUCUAAUAAAAUAAAUUAUUGAUACUAUCUGA
This is a long non-coding RNA of Homo sapiens (human), 398 nucleotides long. RefSeq lists it as uncharacterized. The transcript has 2 exons. The record is from RefSeq and is a predicted model, not a curated record. Lineage: Eukaryota; Metazoa; Chordata; Mammalia; Primates; Hominidae.